RNAcentral lists this ribosomal RNA (403 nucleotides) under uncultured bacterium. RNAcentral's name for it is "bacterial SSU rRNA". It matches the Rfam family "Bacterial small subunit ribosomal RNA", at positions 355 to 776 of the family's 1533-position model. The record is from RNAcentral.
UGGGGAAUAUUGCGCAAUGGGGGAAACCCUGACGCAGCAACGCCGCGUGCGGGAUGAAGGCCUUCGGGUUGUAAACCGCUUUCAGCAGGGAAGACUACGACGGUACCUGCAGAAGAAGCCCCGGCUAACUACGUGCCAGCAGCCGCGGUAAUACGUAGGGGGCAAGCGUUAUCCGGAUUCAUUGGGCGUAAAGCGCGCGCAGGCGGGCUGCUAAGCGGGACCUCUAAUCCAAGGGCUCAACCUUUGGCCGGGUCCCGAACUGGUAGCCUCGAGUGCGGUAGGGGAGGUCGGAAUUCCCGGUGUAGCGGUGGAAUGCGCAGAUAUCGGGAAGAACACCGAUGGCGAAGGCAGACCUCUGGGCCGUCACUGACGCUGAGGCGCGAAAGCUAGGGGAGCGAACAGG